Westerdykella ornata is the source of this 72-nucleotide non-coding RNA. The record is from the annotation of a RefSeq genome assembly. Lineage: Eukaryota; Fungi; Ascomycota; Dothideomycetes; Pleosporales; Sporormiaceae.
AGUCCGAUGGUCUAGUGGUAUGACGUUCGCUUCACACGCGAAAGGUCCUGGGUUCGAUCCCCUGUCGGACUA